Daphnia magna is the source of this 459-nucleotide long non-coding RNA. RefSeq lists it as uncharacterized. The transcript is spliced from 2 exons. Lineage: Eukaryota; Metazoa; Arthropoda; Branchiopoda; Diplostraca; Daphniidae. The record is from RefSeq and is a predicted model, not a curated record.
UAAAUGCAAAUAUUUCAAAGAACACAGAGGCAAAAAAAAGAAAUAACAAAUUAUUUUAUACUUGUUGGACACGACAUUGCUUUAUGGUAUCCCAACGUAUGGAAAGUAUGUAAGAAGUUCAAUCGUCUAAAGAGGGUACAACAAAAAGAAAAUCACGACGGCGACGUCAUUGUGGAGGCCGACGGGUGGUGGCUCGCGGCGACCCGUCUUCUUGUAGUGCUGCUCGGCGCCAUCGUCGGAUCAGCAGGUCGAUCCUUCUGUGCCGCCAAUGCAGGAACUCCCGGGAAUCGGUGCUGGGAGCUGGUGAAUCGCGGUCGAUGUCUGGUUGAUGUUGAGGGUCGUUCGGUGAUACGGCAGGUGUUGAUGCUGGCAUCCCAGCUCUUGCCCCGGGGAUGGUGAUUACGAGGAUGUCUCGUCCGCUUCCGUCCAAUAAAGUCAUUCGACCAUUCCAUCAGUAAA